This 160-nucleotide small RNA is filed under the name Gopherus agassizii (Agassiz's desert tortoise). Its description in RNAcentral is "TUC338 (ENSGAGG00000022230.1)". The record is from RNAcentral. Lineage: Eukaryota; Metazoa; Chordata; Testudines; Testudinidae.
CUAACAAGGUUGGAGACUGAAUUCUUCUGUUUAUUCACAGAAUAGAUGUAAAAGAAAUAGCAACUGUGAAAUCUUCAUAGCAAUUAUGCUUCACCUCUGACCUGGAGAAAUCAUCUCUAGGAGAGGUUCAGGUUCCCUGUCCAUUCAAGUCUCAUUUUUC